RNAcentral lists this ribosomal RNA (493 nucleotides) under uncultured bacterium. Its description in RNAcentral is "partial 16S ribosomal RNA". It matches the Rfam family "Bacterial small subunit ribosomal RNA", at positions 30 to 523 of the family's 1533-position model. The record is from RNAcentral.
AUUGAACGCUGGCGGCAUGCUUUACACAUGCAAGUCGAACGGUAACAGGUUAAGCUGACGAGUGGCGAACGGGUGAGUAAUGCAUCGGAACGUGCCCGGUCGUGGGGGAUAACGCAGCGAAAGCUGCGCUAAUACCGCAUACGAUCUAAGGAUGAAAGCGGGGGACCGUAAGGCCUCGCGCGAUCGGAGCGGCCGAUGUCAGAUUAGGUAGUGGGUGGUGGAAAGGCUCACCAAGCCAACGAUCUGUAGCUGUUCUGAGAGGACGACCAGCCACACUGGGACUGAGACACGGCCCAGACUCCUACGGGAGGCAGCAGUGGGGAAUUUUGGACAAUGGGCGAAAGCCUGAUCCAGCAAUGCCGCGUGCAGGAAGAAGGACUUCGGGUUGUAAACUGCUUUUGUACGGAGCGAAAAGGUCUCCUCUAAUACAGGGGGCUCAUGACGGUACCGUAAGAAUAAGCACCGGCUAACUACGUGCCAGCCGCCGCCGUAA